Molecule: long non-coding RNA, 416 nt
Filed under: Amborella trichopoda
Lineage: Eukaryota; Viridiplantae; Streptophyta; Magnoliopsida; Amborellales; Amborellaceae
Description: long non-coding RNA (ATRI_LNC000907)
Source: RNAcentral
AAAGAAUGUAUGGAGGCCACCAAUUAGUGGAACUCUUAAGUUGAAUUUUGAUGAAAGUUCUUUUAGAAAUCUGAGAGUUUUUGUUAUGUCCGGAGACUAUGAGAAAUUCAAAUGUGAUGGUGGAUGACUUAGCAAAAAAAUGGACUCCGUUGGAUGAAUUGUUGGUUGCUGAAGAACUUUUUCUUUGAUUUUUUAGUUUGAUGGUUCUAUAAAUUUGUAACAUCUUUGUGUAAUUGAAAAAACUUAUAUUGAGCCAAGGCUAUAAACAGUCAAAUUAAAGCCCACUUCAAAAAUUUCACUAGAAGAGGCUGUUUUGAUGCCCAAAUAUCCUCAAAUUGAUCAUCUCGACAUCAAGAUGCAUAGACAUGAGAAAAAAAAAUAGACUUCAAGUUUUGAAAAUAAUGCAUCUUUGUAAC